GAUCAUGGCUCAGGACGAACGCUGGCGGCGUGCUUCAUACAUGCAAGUCGAACGAGAAGUCACCUUCGGGUGAUGGAAAGUGGCGGACGGGUGAGUAACACGUAGGAAAUCUGCCCUUUAGCGGGGGACAACAGUUGGAAACGACUGCUAAUACCCCAUAUGAGGUAGGCUGAAAUGCUUAUCUUGAAAACUCCGGUGCUAAAGGAUGAGCCUGCGGCUGAUUAGAUAGUUGGCGGGGUAAAGG
RNAcentral lists this ribosomal RNA (244 nucleotides) under uncultured bacterium. RNAcentral describes it as "partial 16S ribosomal RNA". It matches the Rfam family "Bacterial small subunit ribosomal RNA", at positions 15 to 263 of the family's 1533-position model. The record is from RNAcentral.